Molecule: long non-coding RNA, 748 nt
Organism: Thrips palmi
Lineage: Eukaryota; Metazoa; Arthropoda; Insecta; Thysanoptera; Thripidae
Exons: 4
Source: RefSeq, a predicted model, not a curated record
AGUGAGUUUUGAGUCGAGUUUCAGUCAGUUCAGUUCCCCUCCGAGGCUCGUCCCGGCGAAACGUGGCGGUCGGAGCGUGUUCUUGCUUGGCGCGGAGUGUCUCAACGAGUGUGUUGUUUGUGUGUGAGUGCGCUAAGGAUCCCUUCUGAAACGUCGGAUUUCGCCUGCGCUGUGCGUGCUGCGUUCUGCGCGCGUACGGCGGUCCGGAGUGGUGUAGUGGUUGUGCAAGUGCGAGGCAGCCCGGCAGGCGCUGCUGGCCGUCUACUUGUUGCUGCGCGGGGCCAGGCCUUCCAGGCUUCCAGGCUGUUGCUGCAGCCAUUCCAGCGGCUGGAGGAGAACGCCGAGCGAGGAUGGCUCGACCGUGAACUUGAAGGCGAAGUGGAUGUUGAAGGCUUCGCCGCUUCGACGGCCGACCAACGCAUUCCCUUGGAUUAAUCUUCGCCUUGCCUCCGCCCCGCCACCCUGUUCUGCGUGCCCAAGCACCGCCGGUCGUCCGUACCCGACGACGAUGUAAGUUCGCCUGGGAGGGCGGACCAUGGAUGCCCUUUAUGCGUGCAUACAGGUGAGUUCCGGCGGCCCCGCUCACCCGCAGUCUCCCUGUCGCUGCUGGGUCGGCAGACCUGACGAGGAAUGAGCCCGGUGGGGCGCAGCUCGCGGGAGCGGGCCAUGCAGGCCGUGGAGUACUACAACACCUCGGUGCUGCGGGCGCGGACGGACGCGGGGUUGGUGGGGCCGGGCAGGCUGGGCC